This 85-nucleotide transfer RNA is filed under the name Propioniciclava sp. MC1683. RNAcentral describes it as "tRNA-Leu". It matches the Rfam family "tRNA". Rfam says of the family: Transfer RNA (tRNA) molecules are approximately 80 nucleotides in length. Their secondary structure includes four short double-helical elements and three loops (D, anti-codon, and T loops). Further hydrogen bonds mediate the characteristic L-shaped molecular structure. tRNAs have two regions of fundamental functional importance: the anti-codon, which is responsible for specific mRNA codon recognition, and the 3' end, to which the tRNAs corresponding amino acid is attached (by aminoacyl-tRNA synthetases). tRNAs cope with the degeneracy of the genetic code in two manners: having more than one tRNA (with a specific anti-codon) for a particular amino acid; and 'wobble' base-pairing, i.e. permitting non-standard base-pairing at the 3rd anti-codon position. The record is from RNAcentral. Lineage: Bacteria; Bacillati; Actinomycetota; Actinomycetes; Propionibacteriales; Propionibacteriaceae.
GCCGGGGUGGUGGAAUGGGCAGACACGCUGGUUUUAGGUACCAGUACCGAGAGGUGUGAGGGUUCGAGUCCCUUCCCCGGCACCA